This 209-nucleotide ribosomal RNA is filed under the name uncultured bacterium. Its description in RNAcentral is "partial 16S ribosomal RNA". It matches the Rfam family "Bacterial small subunit ribosomal RNA", at positions 1292 to 1500 of the family's 1533-position model. The record is from RNAcentral.
UUCAGAUUGCAGGCUGCAACUCGCCUGCAUGAAGUCGGAAUUGCUAGUAAUCGUAGGUCAGCAUACUACGGUGAAUACGUUCCCGGGCCUUGUACGCACCGCCCGUCAAACCAUGAGAGUUGGCAACACCCGAAGUCGGUAGUCUAACCGCAAGGAGGACGCCGCCGAAGGUGGGGUUGAUGAUUAGGGUUAAGUCGUAACAAGGUAUC